GAUGAACGCUGGCGGCGUGCCUAACACAUGCAAGUCGAACGAGAUGCGUAUCGGAAAGCUUCGGCCGGAAGAUGCGUUAUCUAGUGGCGGACGGGUGAGUAACACGUGGGUAACCUGCCUUAUGGAGGGGGAUAACAGAGAGAAAUCACUGCUAAUACCGCAUAAGCACACAGUACCGCAUGGUACAGGGUGAAAAGAUUUAUCGCCAUAAGAUGGACCCGCGUCUGAUUAGCCAGUUGGCAGGGUAAAAGCCUACCAAAGCAACGAUCAGUAGCCGGUCUGAGAGGAUGACCGGCCACAUGGGGACGGAGACACGGCCAAAACUCCUACGGGAGGCAGCAGUGGGGAAUAUUGAACAAUGGGGGAAACCCUGAUGCAGCGACGCCGCGUGAGUGAAGGAGUAUUUCGGUAUGUAAAGCUCUAUCAGCAGGGAAGAUAAUGACAGUACCUGACUAAGAAGCCCCGGCUAACUACGUGCCAGCCGCCGCCGUAA
This 493-nucleotide ribosomal RNA is filed under the name uncultured bacterium. Its description in RNAcentral is "partial 16S ribosomal RNA". It matches the Rfam family "Bacterial small subunit ribosomal RNA", at positions 28 to 523 of the family's 1533-position model. The record is from RNAcentral.